Molecule: ribosomal RNA, 321 nt
Filed under: Triticum aestivum (bread wheat)
Lineage: Eukaryota; Viridiplantae; Streptophyta; Magnoliopsida; Poales; Poaceae
Description: partial small subunit ribosomal RNA
Source: RNAcentral
AUGCCAAGGAGAGGAACUCCAUGCGUAUGGGAGGCCAGCCGCUCCCCAAUCUUCAGAUCUGACCAACGUGGGAGGAAUUGUUGGAGCACAACCAAAUCCAAACGCCUCACCGAAGUUUGCAAUGGAUCAACCUUGAAGACACUCGGAACAUUUACUUCGAGUGAAGACUCUAGCGGCGCUAUUGCCACUGCCCCGACCUCGCCGAUUGUUGACCUCGCUGGCUUGACAGCGUCCUUUUUGAUUCUGAACAUAGGUGCUACUCUCCUGGACACCGCCGACUCAGGUCCUACUCUCCUGGACGCCGCCGACUCAGGUGGAUAA